RNAcentral lists this ribosomal RNA (240 nucleotides) under uncultured bacterium. RNAcentral describes it as "partial 16S ribosomal RNA". It matches the Rfam family "Bacterial small subunit ribosomal RNA", at positions 28 to 250 of the family's 1533-position model. The record is from RNAcentral.
GACGAACGCUGGCGGCGUGCUUAACACAUGCAAGUCGAGCGGUAAGGCCCUUUCGGGGUACGACGAGCGGCGAACGGGUAGAGUAACACGUGGGUGGACCUCGCCCUCCAGCUCUGGGAGUAAAGACCUCGGGAAACCGGGGUACCGUAAUAACCGGACGUAUGACUCCAUGACGCAUGUUGUGGGGUGGAAAGACCUUGUGCGGCUGAGGAGUGGGCCCGGCCGGCCUAUCAGCUUGUU